This 284-nucleotide unclassified non-coding RNA is filed under the name Hevea brasiliensis (rubber tree). Lineage: Eukaryota; Viridiplantae; Streptophyta; Magnoliopsida; Malpighiales; Euphorbiaceae. The record is from RNAcentral.
AGCAAAAUCUUUCUCCAAAGGUUUGAAUUUCUUUUCUAUUAAUAAUUCCAUGUUAUUCAAAGGCAUAAAAAGAAAAAAAGAAUAAAAAGAAAAGACUAUGUUAUUUUUUACUAUUCAAAGCAUGAAAACUGUAUAAUUCUAAUAUCUAGUUUUCAGUUCAAUCUUGCUUUAUUUAUGGGCCUAUGCCUAUGUGCUAUCGUUUUCUCCCCCGACAUUGGUAUGAAAUUUUGUGCUAUGGCAUGUUUAACUGUAACCCGUACUAAUUAUUUUUCUCACUCUAGUUG